UUUUAUCGAGGCUCGAGUAACACGUGGGUAACCUGCCUGUAAGACUGGGAUAACUCCGGGAAACCGGAGCUAAUACCGGAUAGUUCCUUGAACCGCAUGGUUCAAGGAUGAAAGACGGUUUCGGCUGUCACUUACAGAUGGACCCGCGGCGCAUUAGCUAGUUGGUGAGGUAACGGCUCACCAAGGCGACGAUGCGUAGCCGACCUGAGAGGGUGAUCGGCCACACUGGGACUGAGACACGGCCCAGACUCCUACGGGAGGCAGCAGUAGGGAAUCUUCCGCAAUGGACGAAAGUCUGACGGAGCAACGCCGCGUGAGUGAUGAAGGUUUUCGGAUCGUAAAGCUCUGUUGUUAGGGAAGAACAAGUGCAAGAGUAACUGCUUGCACCAUGACGGUACCUAACCAGAAAGCCACGGCUAACUACGUGCCAGCAGCCGCGGUAAUACGUAGGUGGCAAGCGUUGUCCGGAAUUAUUGGGCGUAAAGGGCUCGCAGGCGGUUUCUUAAGUCUGAUGUGAAAGCCCCCGGCUCAACCGGGGAGGGUCAUUGGAAACUGGGAAACUUGAGUGCAGAAGAGGGAGAGUGGAAUUCCACGUGUAGCGGUGAAAUGCGUAGAGAUGUGGAGGAACACCAGUGGCGAAGGCGACUCUCUGGUCUGUAACUGACGCUGAGGAGCGAAAGCGUGGGGAGCGAACAGGAUUAGAUACCCUGGUAGUCCACGCCGUAAACGAUGAGUGCUAAGUGUUAGGGGGUUUCCGCCCCCUUAGUGCU
RNAcentral lists this ribosomal RNA (770 nucleotides) under uncultured Bacillus sp. RNAcentral describes it as "bacterial SSU rRNA". It matches the Rfam family "Bacterial small subunit ribosomal RNA", at positions 90 to 847 of the family's 1533-position model. The record is from RNAcentral. Lineage: Bacteria; Bacillati; Bacillota; Bacilli; Caryophanales; Bacillaceae.